AGCAGCUAGCAAAUAGAUGCAGCAAGGCUCUGCCCUCUUCCAGCAAGGAAGACUGCACUCUGUCUCCAGAAGGGGAGUAAAACAGCAAGGGGCUGACUGAGAGAAGGAUCAGCCAGACCCUGCAUGACUGGGAAGGCUUUUACUUUGCCCAAGCCUGUGUCUCCAAGGCAAAAAGGGACUGAGCCAGCUGAGGAGAAGCAGGUACUUUGCCACACUGGUUGCCUUGAGAGACUAGGCACUGCUGUCUAUCCUGCAUCAGGAGUAUGCCCUGUUCCCCCUCAGUGUUGACCUGCUGGUACAGACUGGACAGUCACCAAAAGCUCAUGAUGAUGUCACACUCACUAUUAGAAUUUGCAUGGAAUUGUUCUGCUAUGUGACUUGGAUAAGCCUGGACUUUGAAGGUCCAUCCCCUCCACUCCUGCAGGAUCAACUCCUGAUGGCUCUUUUCUUCUGCAGAAAGCCAGGAUUUUAAGGAAUGGACAAUCCCCAGAAGGCAAAGAAACAUGUGUGUCAGAGCUGGGAUUUAAAGGCUGAGAAGUUGAGGAGUGACUCACAGAAGGUGUCACAGAGGGACACAAAAGGACAGGUUUCCUUAGCAAGAGGGAACUAUUAUGUGUGGUAGAUCAGCUGAAGGACACUGACUGCAGGCGUCAAAGAAAGAUACUCCAUGAUUUGGAGGAGAAAUCAUGAGCUGGAGGAGUGCAGUCCAGAAGAGGAGACUUGGAACCCUGAAAGGACAUUGAUCCAAAUCCCAAAGAACACUGAGACAAGGAAUGACAUAGAUGUUUAUUAUUUUACCUAUAUCUGUAUAUCUCAUGUGCCAUCUAAAGUAAACAGUGAUUGUUUUUGAAAUCCUU
Long non-coding RNA from Mauremys reevesii (Reeves's turtle), 857 nucleotides. RefSeq lists it as uncharacterized. The record is from RefSeq and is a predicted model, not a curated record. Lineage: Eukaryota; Metazoa; Chordata; Testudines; Geoemydidae. The transcript has 3 exons.